This 300-nucleotide ribosomal RNA is filed under the name uncultured Slackia sp. RNAcentral describes it as "bacterial SSU rRNA". The stretch from base 61 to 300 matches the Rfam family "Bacterial small subunit ribosomal RNA", at positions 556 to 795 of the family's 1533-position model. Lineage: Bacteria; Bacillati; Actinomycetota; Coriobacteriia; Eggerthellales; Eggerthellaceae. The record is from RNAcentral.
ACGAAGUGGGAGCAAGAGGGGGGGGAAGAACGGAGGGGGCAAACGUGGGUCGGCAGUGUGGGGCGUCAAGCGAACGGAGGCGGGUUAGGAAGAGCCAUGUGAAAUCCAGCGGGUGAACCGUGGAAGUGCAUGGGAAACUGCUGAGCUUGAGUACUUAAGAGGAUCGCGGAAUUCCCGGUGUAGAGGUGAAAUUCGUAGAUAUCGGGAGGAAUACCAGUGGCGAAGGCGGCGAUCUGGGAAGAUACUGACGCUGAGGUGCGAAAGCGUGGGGAGCAAACAGGAUUAGAUACUCGGGUAGUC